This 531-nucleotide ribosomal RNA is filed under the name uncultured Leuconostoc sp. RNAcentral's name for it is "bacterial SSU rRNA". It matches the Rfam family "Bacterial small subunit ribosomal RNA", at positions 12 to 525 of the family's 1533-position model. The record is from RNAcentral. Lineage: Bacteria; Bacillati; Bacillota; Bacilli; Lactobacillales; Lactobacillaceae.
UUUGAUCCUGGCUCAGGAUGAACGCUGGCGGCGUGCGUAAUACAUGCAAGUCGAACGCGCAUCGAGAGGUGCUUGCCCCUUUCUAGGGACUGGUGAACGGGGGAGUAACACGUGGACAACCUGCCUCAAGGAAGGGGAUAACAUUUGGAAACAUACGUUAAUGCCGAAUAAAACUUAGUAUUGCAUGAUAUCAAGUUAAAAGGUGAUUCGGUGUCACCUAGAGAUGGAUCGAGGGUGCAUUAGUUAAGGGGUGGGGUAAAGGCUUACCAAGCCGAUGAGGCACAGUCGAGUUGCCAGAGAAAUGGGCUUCAUGUGGAAUGAGACACGGCCCAAACUCCUACGGGAGGUUGCUGUAGGGAAUGUUCCACAAUGGGCGCAAGCAAGAUGGAGCAACGCCGCGUGUGCCAUGAAGGCAUUCGGGUCCUAAAGCAUCAUUGUAUGGGAAGAAAUGGUCAAAUAGGGAAUGAUUUUAGUUUGACGGUACCAUACCAGAAAGGGACGGAUAACUCCGUGCCAGCAGCCGCGGUAAUA